AGUACGAGUAUUGUGUACAAGUCUAUUAUACAAUAUGGACUUAUAGUAGGGUGGAUGUGCAAUAAAAUCACUAUAAAUACAACAGAAUCUAACUGUUAGAAUAUGUAUGAAAAUAAAUAAAUAAAUACUUGGAUCUACAUCAUCAAACUACAAACUUUUUAAUGUACUGCCAGACAUCUGUAUAAGUUAUCUGCUAUUUUAGUGGUCUAAGCACUCAUACUUUAUCUAAACAGGUUAAUAAACGAGAUUUUAUAGCAUAUGACACUACUGUACGAUACACAAAUAAUUUAGUAAGACAUUUGUAGAUUAUCU
Molecule: non-coding RNA, 312 nt
Organism: Cinara cedri
Lineage: Eukaryota; Metazoa; Arthropoda; Insecta; Hemiptera; Aphididae
Source: the annotation of a GenBank genome assembly